UUGGAGGGCAAGUCUGGUGCCAGCAGCCGCGGUAAUUCCAGCUCCAAUAGCGUAUAUUAAAGUUGCUGCAGUUAAAAAGCUCGUAGUUGAAUUUCGGGGUCAGUAGGUCGGUCGUGCCACUGGUAUGAACUGGUUUUACUGAUUCCUCCCUCUUGAAGAACUGUAAUGCCAUAAUUUGGUGUUGCAGGGAAUCAGGACUGUUACUUUGAAAAAAUUAGAGUGUUUAAAGCAGGCUCACGCUUGAAUACAUUAGCAUGGAAUAAUGAAAUAGGACGUUUGAUUCUAUUUUGUUGGUUUCUAGGAUCGACGUAAUGAUUAAUAGGGAUAGUUGGGGGCAUUAGUAUUCAAUUGUCAGAGGUGAAAUUCUUGGAUUUAUUGAAGACUAACUACUGCGAAAGCAUUUGCCAAGGAUGUUUUCAUUAAUCAAGAACGAAAGUUAGGGGAUCGAAGACGAUCAGAUACCGUCGUAGUCUUAACCAUAAACUAUGCCGACUAGGGAUCGGAUGAUGUUAAUUUUUUAAUGACUCAUUCGGCGCCUUACGGGAAAC
Molecule: ribosomal RNA, 548 nt
Filed under: uncultured Rhizophagus
Lineage: Eukaryota; Fungi; Glomeromycota; Glomeromycetes; Glomerales; Glomeraceae
Description: SSU rRNA
Rfam family: Eukaryotic small subunit ribosomal RNA
Source: RNAcentral